GGGGAAGUCAGAAAUGUGCUGAGAUGAGGGGUGGGCACUGGGCCAAGAUCAAGCCAGAGAUAGCCUCUCAGAAGCAGGCACUUUGGGGUGCAGCUGGUCACGUCCACCCACUCAGUGCUUCGCGGCAAAGAGUAUGAUAAACCUCUCAUGAUGUUGCUGAAGAUGAGAAAAAAAGGGGGGCUGGAUUCACAAAUAGAGAGAUGAAGUAACUUUCCCACGGGCACACUGAAACACAGCCAGAGACUGGGGAUUUGAACUUCAGACCGUCUGAUUCAGAGCCAUUGCUCUCUCAGUUACGCUAACUGGCUCAAAUAGCCCAAGUCGGAGGG
Long non-coding RNA from Zalophus californianus (California sea lion), 329 nucleotides. RefSeq lists it as uncharacterized. NCBI's taxonomy places the organism in Eukaryota, Metazoa, Chordata, Mammalia, Carnivora, Otariidae. The transcript has 3 exons. The record is from RefSeq and is a predicted model, not a curated record.